GGAGAUGAUGUACGGCAAGGUCUAGCAAACCAACGUUAGCGAGUCUUGGGUGCUGUCUGGUAACAGGCAGGGCUAGGUGUAGGCAGUUAGGAAGCAGUAUAUGAACU
Molecule: non-coding RNA, 107 nt
Filed under: Robinsoniella peoriensis
Lineage: Bacteria; Bacillati; Bacillota; Clostridia; Lachnospirales; Lachnospiraceae
Source: RNAcentral